UGCAGUCGAACGGAAACGAUGGGAGCUUGCUCCCAGGCGUCGAGUGGCGGACGGGUGAGUAAUACUUAGGAAUCUACCCAGUAGCGGGGGACAACUCGAGGAAACUCGAGCUAAUACCGCAUACGCCCUACGGGGGAAAGCGGAGGACUCUUCGGAGCUUCGCACUAUUGGAUGAGCCUAAGUCGGAUUAGCUUGUUGGUGAGGUAAAGGCUCACCAAGGCGACGAUCCGUAGCUGGUCUGAGAGGACGAUCAGCCACACUGGGACUGAGACACGGCCCAGACUCCUACGGGAGGCAGCAGUGGGGAAUAUUGGACAAUGGGGGCAACCCUGAUCCAGCAACGCCGCGUGUGUGAAGAAGGCCUGCGGGUUGUAAAGCACUUUCAGUAGAGAAGAAAAGCUUAGGGUUAAUACCCCUGGGUCUUGACGUUACCUACAGAAGAAGCUCCGGCUAACUCCGUGCCAGCAGCCGCGGUAAUACGGAGGGAGCGAGCGUUAAUCGGAAUUACUGGGCGUAAAGCGCGCGUAGGCGGCUUUGUAAGUCGGAUGUGAAAGCCCUGGGCUCAACCUGGGAAUUGCAUUCGAUACUGCAUGGCUAGAGUAUGGUAGAGGGAAGUGGAAUUUCCGGUGUAGCGGUGAAAUGCGUAGAUAUCGGAAGGAACACCGGUGGCGAAGGCGACUUCCUGGGCCAAUACUGACGCUGAGGCGCGAAAGCGUGGGUAGCAAACAGGAUUAGAUACCCUGGUAGUCCACGCCGUAAACGAUGAGAACUAGAUGUCGGGGGAAUUUGUCCUUCGGUGUCGCAGCUAACGCGUUAAGUUCUCCGCCUGGGGAGUACGCCGGCAACGGUAAAACUCAAGGAA
This 862-nucleotide ribosomal RNA is filed under the name uncultured marine bacterium. RNAcentral's name for it is "bacterial SSU rRNA". It matches the Rfam family "Bacterial small subunit ribosomal RNA", at positions 56 to 908 of the family's 1533-position model. The record is from RNAcentral.